GAUGAACGCUGGCGGCGUGCGUAACACAUGCAAGUUGAACGACGGUGCCAUGAAGUGGUAACACGGAGUGGUAUACGGAGUAGCGGACGGGUGAGUAAAGCAUGAGGAUCUGUCCUGUCGAGGGGGAUAACGUUCGGAAACGGACCCUAAUACCCCAUAGUCCGAGAGGUUAAAGGCAGCGAUGCGCGGCAGGAGGAGCUCGUGUCCUAUCAGCUGGUUGGUGAGGUAACGGCUCACCAAGGCAACGACGGGUAGCCGGCCUGAGAGGGUGACCGGCCACACUGGAACUGAGAAACGGUCCAGACUCCUACGGGAGGCAGCAGUGGGGAAUAUUGGGCAAUGGGAGGAAUCCUGACCCAGCGACGCCGCGUGAACGAAGACGGCCUUCGGGUUGUAAAGUUCUUUUAUGUGGGAAGAAUGAAGGACGUAC
Molecule: ribosomal RNA, 430 nt
Filed under: Synergistetes bacterium oral taxon 360
Lineage: Bacteria; Thermotogati; Synergistota
Description: bacterial SSU rRNA
Rfam family: Bacterial small subunit ribosomal RNA
Source: RNAcentral